This 206-nucleotide long non-coding RNA is filed under the name Phoenix dactylifera (date palm). RNAcentral's name for it is "long non-coding RNA (PDAC_LNC002410)". The record is from RNAcentral. Lineage: Eukaryota; Viridiplantae; Streptophyta; Magnoliopsida; Arecales; Arecaceae.
CGGUGCUCUGCGCCCAUGCGCGUAUGGCGUCCAGUGUCCGAGCGGGCGCAGCUUGCCCAGCAGCCAUCGGCCGGACAUGACCAACGGGCCGCAUGCAUGCGCGACCCACAGACAGCGCCGCAGGGCCUUCGUGCAGUGCCAAGCACAGCAACCGCGCCGAAGGCCAGGUUGCCCAUGCGCAGGAGUUCUUCAUGCCCAGCAGCCAG